RNAcentral lists this long non-coding RNA (615 nucleotides) under Homo sapiens (human). Its description in RNAcentral is "non-protein coding lnc-BTG3-5:3". The record is from RNAcentral. Lineage: Eukaryota; Metazoa; Chordata; Mammalia; Primates; Hominidae.
CUUUCAUUUGGAAGUUUCUAAUGCAAGCUAAUUUUGUGAGAAAAAACUCUCACAUCAUGUAUCUGCCCAUUUUAGAGGAAGGAUAAGCAUAUGGUACAACAUCAGUGGAUGGAACAGAAGCCGCAACUAGUUGAGGGUAUUUCCUUGCCUACAGCUCCAUCAAGCAUUAAGAGAGACUUUCCAGGCCAGCUCCAGAUGAAAAGUGCUUAUUUCAGAAUCUUUAUUUUGGGGGUCUGUGCCAUUAUGUCAAGAUUCUAAAACUCAAAAUUGGAGCCUGAAAAGUCAUGUCUCUCGCUAUGAGAGUGUUGGGGCUCAGAAAGCGAUACCCCAAAGACUGGUGCUUUGAAAUGUUGAGAGGACUUAGAAGCUGCCUCAGAAUCAAGCUGCACUCCAGCCUGGGUAACAGAGCGAGACUCCAUCUCAAAAAAAAAAAAAAAAAAAAAAAAAUAUAUAUAUAUAUAUAUAUGUGUGUGUGUGUAUAUAUAUAGCUAUAUAUAUGUGUAUAUAUAUAUAUAUAGCUAUAUAUAUAUAUAUAUAUAUUGCUGAGAAAGAGAAGAAAAUACAGGGAAGUAGAAAUUAUGCUCUUCAUUGUCUAGGAGUUUUAGUUCUUUAAUU